Molecule: non-coding RNA, 70 nt
Organism: Meloidogyne enterolobii
Lineage: Eukaryota; Metazoa; Nematoda; Chromadorea; Rhabditida; Meloidogynidae
Source: the annotation of a GenBank genome assembly
GGCGGCGUGGUGUAAUGGAUAACACAUCAGUCCGGUCUACUGAAGAUGCUGGUUCACUACCAGCCGCCUA